CUGUUAUUGGAAUCCUUCGCCGAAUCCUGCAGACCCAUAAAUCAAAACGUUUCUCCACCAUCAUAAAGUAAGCACUUUUAAAUUCUUUUUUAUUGAAAAUUCACUCUGCCAUAAUCAAAUUCGCAAAAUAAUUAAUUUGUCAUAUUAUCUUCUCUGACUGACGCGAUAAUCGCUUAAGCGAUUUUGGCUGUGCUCAACUAAGCGCGCCAAAUAUUUUUAUUUUCUUUUGAUAUUACAACUGAUUUCUUAAUGUCUCAAGAAGCAUUUUGGUUUAAAAAAUUCGCACAGAUUUAAAUGUAAAUAUUAUUGACAAUAAAUAUUUACUAUCUAUCUUAUUAUACGUUCACAUAUAAGUAGAUUAUCUACUUUUUCGUGCUUAACUUCCAAUCCGUAAUUAAAACACGAGAUUACUCAUACAAAAUUACUAUCCGUAAAUCUGAGAUUAUAAAAUAAUCCUAUAUUAUAACAAUAACUUUUAUACAUACAACCCUGUGUUAUCGAUAAUUAUUUUUACGAAUGUAAGCAAAAUAAAGACUAAAUAAACCGGAUGCCGGCAAAGAAAACAGGUUUGUAGACAUAAUUGUAAUACAAUUUUUGUUAAAACUUUUUAAUUGUGCACUCAUUUUACAUAAAAAAACGAUAGCACUUUUCCAGAGAAGCAGUCGAAUUUCUUUUGGACUUGUCACGGAGUUGUUCUUGUUUUACAGAGAUGAAGGUUGUUGGGCCUUCAGACGGUACCCCAUCGGUGUGGAAGUAGUUCAGUAAAGUAAACCAUCUGGUCGUUGAGUUGUAAGGCAGAGGCUUCGUAAUAAACUGGGUAAAGCGAAUUGUAGAAGCUCUCAGCACAAUGCCUGGAACAUUUGUACUAAAAAUUUGAAUCGUGUUCUCGCUUUAAGCGCUUUGAGGAAUUUUACUUUAAGAACGACUGCUCGAAAGUUUGGGAACCAAAAACCAAAAAUCAAAAAAAUCAAAAAUACUCUACCAAACCAAUUUCUAAGACGAAAAAUCUUUUAAAACAGUAUUGGCAGCUGAUUGUUAAUUUUGCAGGUAAUCCGCAAUACGUGAAUGGGUAGAUUAAAUUUUGGGGAUUUAAGAACUGCAUAUGUCAACGUACUUUUACGUAUAAUAUUUUAGGUACAUUACUUUUCGGAACAUACAGAUCAAGCAAUCCAAUUACAAAAUAAAAAUUAAGUGCAUUAAAGAGCUUUGUAUAUAAACUAUAUCUAACUAUUUAUUAACUGCGGUGGAUCUUUGCAUUUUGGCUUUAGUUGUUUUUGGUUUUCUUGUAAGGGCAGCAACCCCAUUAUGUGUGACAGUAGCCGAUUGAUAUGCUUUAUAGGCCUGCCACAAUAUGUAUGUACGAAAGCAACAACAAAGUUAUAGAGCAAGAUUUACCACUAGCGAGUAUAACUAUAACUCAUUUGACUAGUACAACAGGGAGUUAGUUAUACAAGCACAAAUAGUUUCAGGCAGCCCUAUUCCAUCGUUGCCAAUAUAUUGUAUAUCCAUUUAUACUAGUUGCUUCAUCUAUUCGCUACUUGCUAACGCUUGGGGAACAGAAAAGCGCUAAUAUUGCAAAGGUCGCAUAAUGAUAGGCGUUCUUGAUGCAAAUCAUCCGGAAGGCAUAAUUCCAAAGUCGCAAUGGAAAUGGGUUGAAAUAUCGUUAACGAAAGUAACGAGUGAGUCUAAAUGCUCCGAAAAGAAGCUUUAUGCGAAAUAAGGGAAGAUACGGACGUAAUAUUAACAUCGGAUGCAUCUUCUUCAGAUUAAUUUACAUAAGUGCAAAGAAGACCAACCAGAUGUCGUCAUUCAGGAACCAUGGACACACGGACCUGGAUACAAACUAUACAAUGCUUACUGCGAAGGUACUAAAAGAGCAUUACUGAAGACACGACUACGGUCAGUUGAGAAGCAAGCGGAAGCAGCUGCUGGCUGACCUCGUUUUACUUUGCCGACGAUGACACAGGACCACUACCGUCGCAGCUAAUAAGAACGCUUUUAUGGAGAACUGCGAAGCUCGAAAGCGUGAGAUUAUCCUAUGAGGGAGUACGUACAUCAAUGAAUUGGAGUGCAAGCCGAUCUCAACUCCAAUUCUCAAGAACUCAGAAACUUUGGGACCAGGGAAAGAUGAUCAUAAGUCAGAGAAGUUUCCCUACCGACAGGCAGUCGGAAAUCUAAUGUAUCUCAUGCUUGGUUCAAGACCUGAUCUGGCAUACAGCAUAGGAUUUGUAUCCAGAUCCCUGGAGAACCCCUCCUCUGAAGAUAUCGUCCGAAUCAAGAGCAUUUUUCGAUGCAUAGCAGGGACUUUAGAUUUGGGCCUAGUUUAUCAACGAAACAAGAAAAAAGGUAUUCUGGAGGUUUACAGCCAUGCAGAUUUUGGAGGAUGUUUGAGAACAGGUCGCUCAACUUCUGGAGUCAUCGUCAAAUACGCAGGAGGAGCAAUUUCCUGGCUAAGAAAAUGGCAGACAGGGUAGCGAGCUCCACGACGGAAACAGAAAUUAUAGCAGCAAGCAAGGCAGCCAAAGAAACCAUUUGGUUAAGUAGACUUUUUCGUGCAAUCGUAAAACUAAAACAUGUCCCUAUUGUUCAAGUUGACAACAAUGCAGCGGUGAGACUUGCACAGAAUCCAGAGUUCCACCGCAGAACGAAGCAUAUAGCAAUGAAACACUUUUUCAUCCGGGAUAAAAUUUCCAAAGGACGACUGGGAAUUGAACGAGUUUCCACGGAUCAAAACACAGCUGAUAUUAUGACGAAGCCUCUACCAAGAACCCGUUUGAAGAUUCUUUGUAUAAAAAUGGGACUAUCAUAGAUAUAUGUAUUCAUAAAUAUAUUAAGUUUCUUUUUGUCUGCCGCUUCCAUUAUUAAUAUUAUUUUAUGACUUAAGAUUCAACUUUAAUUAACAAGGGAAAGUGUUAAGGUAAUAAGUUGCAAUAUUGUUAGAAUUCAAGUUGAUUCAGAGAUAAUCGCACAGAUGGCGCGUCGAUGUCGAUUCAAGCAAUUCAAGACCUCUGGUAGCUCUGCCUCUUGCGAUGAUUUGCAAUUUCUUAUAUAUAUGUAUAUACUAUAUUAGUUACACUUGAAGCGAACAGAGAAACUCGAAGCUUUGCCAUUUUAUUUUUUACCGAAGAAUUUUGUAACGCUAUUAAAUCAAGCAAGUAGAAUUU
Molecule: long non-coding RNA, 3164 nt
Organism: Anastrepha ludens (Mexican fruit fly)
Lineage: Eukaryota; Metazoa; Arthropoda; Insecta; Diptera; Tephritidae
Exons: 3
Source: RefSeq, a predicted model, not a curated record